RNAcentral lists this ribosomal RNA (516 nucleotides) under uncultured bacterium. Its description in RNAcentral is "partial 16S ribosomal RNA". It matches the Rfam family "Bacterial small subunit ribosomal RNA", at positions 355 to 853 of the family's 1533-position model. The record is from RNAcentral.
UGGGGAAUAUUGCACAAUGGGCGCAAGCCUGAUGCAGCCAUGCCGCGUGUGUGAAGAAGGCCUUCGGGUUGUAAAGCACUUUCAGCGAGGAGGAAGGUGGUGAACUUAAUACGUUCAUCAAUUGACGUUACUCGCAGAAGAAGCACCGGCUAACUCCGUGCCAGCAGCCGCGGUAAUACGGAGGGUGCAAAGCGUUAAUCGGAAUUACUGGGCGUAAAAGCGCACGCAGGCGGUUUGUUAAGUCAGAUGUGAAAUCCCCGGGCUCAACCUGGGAACUGCAUUUGAAAACUGGCAAGCUAGAGUCUCGUAAGAGGGGGGUAGAAAUUCCAGGUGUAGCGGUGAAAUGCGUAGAGAUCUGGAGGAAUACCGGUGGCGAAGGCGGCCCCCUGGACGAAGACUGACGCUCAGGUGCGAAAAGCGUGGGGAGCAAAACAGGAUUAGAUAACCCUGGUAGUCCACGCUGUAAAACGAUGUCGAUUUUGGAGGUUGUGCCCUUGAGGCGUGGCUUCCGGAGCU